This 428-nucleotide ribosomal RNA is filed under the name Gemmatimonadota bacterium. RNAcentral describes it as "Gemmatimonadetes bacterium partial 16S ribosomal RNA". It matches the Rfam family "Bacterial small subunit ribosomal RNA", at positions 355 to 776 of the family's 1533-position model. Lineage: Bacteria; Pseudomonadati; Gemmatimonadota. The record is from RNAcentral.
UAGGGAAUCUUCGGCAAUGGACGAAAGUCUGACCGAGCAACGCCGCGUGAGUGAAGAAGGUUUUCGGAUCGUAAAACUCUGUUGUUAGAGAAGAACAAGGACGUUAGUAACUGAACGUCCCCUGACGGUAUCUAACCAGAAAGCCACGGCUAACUACGUGCAGCAGCCGCGGUAAUACGUAGGUGGCAAGCGUUGUCCGGAUUUAUUGGGCGUAAAGCGAGCGCAGGCGGUUUCUUAAGUCUGAUGUGAAAGCCCCCGGCUCAACCGGGGAGGGUCAUUGGAAACUGGGAGACUUGAGUGCAGAAGAGGAGAGUGGAAUUCCAUGUGUAGCGGUGAAAUGCGUAGAUAUAUGGAGGAACACCAGUGGCGAAGGCGGCUCUCUGGUCUGUAACUGACGCUGAGGCUCGAAAGCGUGGGGAGCAAACAGG